RNAcentral lists this ribosomal RNA (253 nucleotides) under uncultured bacterium. Its description in RNAcentral is "partial 16S ribosomal RNA". It matches the Rfam family "Bacterial small subunit ribosomal RNA", at positions 524 to 776 of the family's 1533-position model. The record is from RNAcentral.
UACGUAGGGUGCGAGCGUUACUCGGAAUUACUGGGCGUAAAGCGUGCGCAGGCGGUUCGCCGUGUCCGAUGUGAAAGCCCCGGGCUUAACCUGGGAAUGGCAUUGGAAACUGGCGGGCUUGAGUGUGGCAGAGGGGGGUGGAAUUCCACGUGUAGCAGUGAAAUGCGUAGAGAUGUGGAGGAACACCGAUGGCGAAGGCAGCCCCCUGGGCCAACACUGACGCUCAGGCACGAAAGCGUGGGGAGCAAACAGG